GAUGAACGCUAGCUACAGGCUUAACACAUGCAAGUCGAGGGGCAGCAUGGUCUUAGCUUGCUAAGGCCGAUGGCGACCGGCGCACGGGUGAGUAACGCGUAUCCAACCUGCCUUACACUCUUGGACAGCCUUCUGAAAGGGAGAUUAAUACAAGAUGUUAUCAUGAGUAAGCAUUUUCGCAUGAUUAAAGGUUUACCGGUGUAAGAUGGGGAUGCGUUCCAUUAGAUAGUAGGCGGGGUAACGGCCCACCUAGUCUUCGAUGGAUAGGGGUUCUGAGAGGAAGGUACCCCACAUUGGAACUGAGACACGGUCCAAACUCCUACGGGAGGCAGCAGUGAGGAAUAUUGGUCAAUGGACGAGAGUCUGAACCAGCCAAGUAGCGUGAAGGAUGAAGGUUCUAUGGAUUGUAAACUUCUUUUAUACGGGAAUAAACGGAUCCACGUGUGGAUUUUUGCAUGUACCGUAUGAAUAAGGAUCGGCUAACUCCGUGCCAGCAGCCGCGGUAAUACGGAGGAUCCGAGCGUUAUCCGGAUUUAUUGGGUUUAAAGGGAGCGUAGAUGGGUUGUUAAGUCAGUUGUGAAAGUUUGCGGCUCAACCGUAAAAUUGCAAUUGAUACUGGCAGUCUUGAGUACAGUUGAGGUAGGCGGAAUUCGUGGUGUAGCGGUGAAAUGCUUAGAUAUCACGAAGAACUCCGAUUGCGAAGGCAGCUUACUAACCUGUAACUGACAUUGAUGCUCGAAAGUGUGGGUAUCAAACAGGAUUUAGAUACCCUGGUAGUCCACACGGUAAACGAUGAAUACUCGCUGUAGGCGAUAUACAGUCUGCGGCCAAGCGAAAGCAUUAAGUAUUCCACCUGGGGAGUACGCCGGCAACGGUGAAACUCAAAGGAAUUGACGGGGGCCCGCACAAGCGGAGGAACAUGUGGUUUAAUUCGAUGAUACGCGAGGAACCUUACCCGGGCUUAAAUUGCAACCGAAUAUGGCGGAAACGCUAUAGCUAGCAAUAGCGGUUGUGAAGGUGCUGCAUGGUUGUCGUCAGCUCGUGCCGUGAGGUGUCGGCUUAAGUGCCAUAACGAGCGCAACCCUUGCCGAUAGUUACUAACAGGUCAUGCUGAGGACUCUGUCGGGACUGCCAUCGUAAGAUGUGAGGAAGGUGGGGAUGACGUCAAAUCAGCACGGCCCUUACGUCCGGGGCUACACACGUGUUACAAUGGGGGGUACAGAGGGCUGCUACCACGCAAGUGGAUGCCAAUCCCAAAAACCUCUCUCAGUUCGGAUUGAAGUCUGCAACCCGACUUCAUGAAGCUGGAUUCGCUAGUAAUCGCGCAUCAGCCACGGCGCGGUGAAUACGUUCCCGGGCCUUGUACACACCGCCCGUCAAGCCAUGGGAGCCGGGGGUACCUGAAGUGCGUAACCGCAAGGAGCGCCCUAGGGUAAAACU
This 1440-nucleotide ribosomal RNA is filed under the name uncultured organism. RNAcentral describes it as "16S ribosomal RNA". It matches the Rfam family "Bacterial small subunit ribosomal RNA". The record is from RNAcentral.